This 719-nucleotide non-coding RNA is filed under the name Pan troglodytes (chimpanzee). Lineage: Eukaryota; Metazoa; Chordata; Mammalia; Primates; Hominidae. The record is from RNAcentral.
GAGUUAGAAACCCUGCCUCUGUAUUCCCAUAGCCUGCUACAGACCUCCACGACAUCACAUGAAAGGUACCAGCUAAACAGAUGUGGGGUGAUUAACCAUCCACUCCAGGGAACACUUGUGGGAAGGUAUCCGUCAGUGGAGCAGGUUUGCAAAUACACGACACACGAGACUCGCCACUGGCCUUAAUGAAGCCUGCAUCAUUCAGUGCUGAAAGCAAACGAUGACGAGCUCCAUGAGGGCCAAGGCUGUCCAUUCCUGUUUACCACUGCACACUCAGGAGCUCAUGGCAUGCUGGCUGUGCUAGUUCUAUCCUCAACAGAAUAAUUGCUGACAAACUCUCUUGCCCAGAAAAUGUCUACUGGAAUUAUGGAGUACAAAAAAACUACAAAAGCAAUGAAAAAAAGAAGGAUGUUUUAUUUACAUCCUAUUUCAAAACCAUUGCUUUCUUGCUAUUGUAUGUCUCUGCAGGCCCAAUAUCGCGCAUCUUCAUAAGAAGUUUAGAAUUGUUCCUUAUGUUUCCUUCUAACAAACACUGGUAUAUUCACAUGAAAGUGUAUAUUUUUUUCACUUCCAAAACAGUUAGCUCAUAAUUCGGAACAUUGAGGUUUGCAAAAUGACUGAAGGAAACUUUACCUAAACAAUAGUUGCCAGUUCUGCUGAGAAUUAUCACGGGCCCACAACGGCUGUGUGUUUUUCCAUACAGAUAUUCUAAUUUUUUU